Molecule: transfer RNA, 74 nt
Filed under: Neogoniolithon spectabile
Lineage: Eukaryota; Rhodophyta; Florideophyceae; Corallinales; Spongitidaceae
Description: tRNA-Pro
Rfam family: tRNA
About the family: Transfer RNA (tRNA) molecules are approximately 80 nucleotides in length. Their secondary structure includes four short double-helical elements and three loops (D, anti-codon, and T loops). Further hydrogen bonds mediate the characteristic L-shaped molecular structure. tRNAs have two regions of fundamental functional importance: the anti-codon, which is responsible for specific mRNA codon recognition, and the 3' end, to which the tRNAs corresponding amino acid is attached (by aminoacyl-tRNA synthetases). tRNAs cope with the degeneracy of the genetic code in two manners: having more than one tRNA (with a specific anti-codon) for a particular amino acid; and 'wobble' base-pairing, i.e. permitting non-standard base-pairing at the 3rd anti-codon position.
Source: RNAcentral
UAGGGUAUGGCGAAAGGGUUAUCGUGUUUGUCUUGGGCAUAAAAGAUUGUAGGUUCGAGUCCUACUACCCUAAC